UUCCGGUUGAUCCUGCCGGAGGUCACUGCUAUUGGGAUUCGACUAAGCCAUGCGAGUCGAGAGGGUUCGGCCCUCGGCAGACGGCUCAGUAACACGUGGAUAAUCUGCCCUUAGGUGGAGGAUAACCUCGGGAAACUGAGAAUAAUACUCCAUAGAUCUAGGAUGCUGGAAUGCAUCUAGGUUGAAAGUUCCGGCGCCUAAGGAUGAGUCUGCGGACUAUCAGGCUGUAGUCAGGGUAAAGACCUGACUAACCUACGACGGAUACGGGUUGUGAGAGCAAUAACCCGGAGACGAUAUCUGAGACACGAUAUCGGGCCCUACGGGGCGCAGCAGGCGCGAAACCUUCACACUGUGCGAAAGCGCGAUGAGGGGAUCCCAAGUGCUUGCACGUAAGUGUAAGCUGUUUCUGUGUCUAAAAAGCAUAGAGAGUAAGGGCUGGGUAAGACGGGUGCCAGCCGCCGCGGUAAUACCUGCAGCUCAAGUGGUGACCGCUAUUAUUGGGCCUAAAACGUCCGUAGCCGGUUUAGUAAAUGCCUGGGUAAAUCGUGUAGCUUAACUAUACGAAUUCCGGGUAGACUGCUAAACUUGAGACCGGGAGAGGCUAGAGGUACUUCUGGGGUAGAGGUGAAAUUCUGUAAUCCUAGGGGGACCACCAGUGGCGAAGGCGUCUAGCUAGAACGGGUCUGACGGUGAGGGACGAAGCCCUGGGGCGCAAACCGGAUUAGAUACCCGGGUAGUCCAGGGUGUAAACGCUGCUUGCUUGAUGUUAGUCGGGCUCUGAGCCCGAUUAGUGUCGGAGAGAAGUUGUUAAGCAAGCUGCCUGGGAAGUACGGUCGCAAGGCUGAAACUUAAAGGAAUUGGCGGGGGAGCACAGCAACGGGUGGAGCGUGCGGUUUAAUUGGACUCAACGCCGGU
This 915-nucleotide ribosomal RNA is filed under the name uncultured archaeon. RNAcentral's name for it is "bacterial SSU rRNA". It matches the Rfam family "Archaeal small subunit ribosomal RNA", at positions 1 to 922 of the family's 1478-position model. The record is from RNAcentral.